Chlorocebus sabaeus (green monkey) is the source of this 469-nucleotide non-coding RNA. Lineage: Eukaryota; Metazoa; Chordata; Mammalia; Primates; Cercopithecidae. The record is from RefSeq and is a predicted model, not a curated record.
GCAGGAGUGGUGGGACAUGCCUGUAGUCCCAGCUACUCUAGAGGCUGAGGUGGGAGGAUCGCCUGAGCCUGGGAGGCCGAGGCUGCCGUGAGCUGUGGUGGUGCCAUCCUCCCUUUGCAGAGCAGGCCUUGAAUACCAAGCCCUUGGCACAGAGCCAGCAAGCAUGAAUGGUGCCCGGUAUUCCUGCAGUUGUUGCUUGUCUCCCAUAGCCCCCAGAAGGGACCGUCUAGUCGCAGGAAAACAAGCUCAGGGCUCCCGGUGAUUCUACAUGAUGGAGAUUUAAGGAGCUGCAUAUUAGUGAACACGCAGGCUGCCUUGGUGCCUGGAGCAGAGCUCACGUUCUAGAGAGAAUUUGCAGAUUGGAAGCCCAUGGGCCAGAAUCAGUCCACGGAUGACUUUCAGGGGCACGAGGUUUGUUUUUGUUCCUUUGUUUUAGAAUUGAAUUCGUUGCCAGCAUUUUUUUUUAAAC